RNAcentral lists this ribosomal RNA (503 nucleotides) under uncultured bacterium. Its description in RNAcentral is "partial 16S ribosomal RNA". It matches the Rfam family "Bacterial small subunit ribosomal RNA", at positions 30 to 523 of the family's 1533-position model. The record is from RNAcentral.
AUUGAACGCUGGCGGCAGGCUUAACACAUGCAAGUCGAGCGGGGUGAUGGUGCUUGCACUAUCACUUAGCGGCGGACGGGUGAGUAAUGCUUAGGAAUCUGCCUAUUAGUGGGGGACAACAUCUCGAAAGGGAUGCUAAUACCGCAUACGUCCUACGGGAGAAAGCAGGGGAUCACUUGUGACCUUGCGCUAAUAGAUGAGCCUAAGUCGGAUUAGCUAGUUGGUGGGGUAAAGGCCUACCAAGGCGACGAUCUGUAGCGGGUCUGAGAGGAUGAUCCGCCACACUGGGACUGAGAGACGGCCGAGACUCCUACGGGAGGCAGCAGUGGGGAAUAUUGGACAAUGGGGGGAACCCUGAUCCAGCCAUGCCGCGUGUGUGAAGAAGGCCUUAUGGUUGUAAAGCACUUGAAGCGAGGAGGAGGCUCUUUUGGUUAAUACCCAAGAUGAGUGGACGUUACUCGCAGAAUAAGCACCGGCUAACUCUGUGCCAGCCGCCGCAGUAA